RNAcentral lists this ribosomal RNA (301 nucleotides) under uncultured bacterium. Its description in RNAcentral is "partial 16S ribosomal RNA". It matches the Rfam family "Bacterial small subunit ribosomal RNA", at positions 509 to 808 of the family's 1533-position model. The record is from RNAcentral.
CAGUCGCCGCGGGAUACGUAGGUGGCAAGCGUUGUCCGGAAUUAUUGGGCGUAAAGCGCGCGUAGGCGGUUUUUUAAGUCUGAUGUGAAAGCCCACGGCUCAACCGUGGAGGGUCAUUGGAAACUGGAAAACUUGAGUGCAGAAGAGGAAAGUGGAAUUCCAUGUGUAGCGGUGAAAUGCGCAGAGAUAUGGAGGAACACCAGUGGCGAAGGCGACUUUCUGGUCUGUAACUGACGCUGAUGUGCGAAAGCGUGGGGAUCAAACAGGAUUAGAUACCCGAGUAGUCCCUGUCUCUUAUACA